This 253-nucleotide ribosomal RNA is filed under the name uncultured bacterium. Its description in RNAcentral is "partial 16S ribosomal RNA". It matches the Rfam family "Bacterial small subunit ribosomal RNA", at positions 524 to 776 of the family's 1533-position model. The record is from RNAcentral.
UACAGAGGGUGCGAGCGUUGUCCGGAAUCACUGGGCGUAAAGGGCGCGUAGGUGGCUUGGUAAGCGUGUGGUGAAAGCUCGGGGCUCAACCCCGAGUCUGCCGUGCGAACUGCCGAGCUCGAGCAAAGUAGAGGCAGGUGGAAUUUCGGGUGUAGCGGUGGAAUGCGUAGAGAUCCGAAAGAACACCAGUGGCGAAGGCGGCCUGCUGGGCUUUUGCUGACACUGGGGCGCGACAGCGUGGGGAGCAAACAGG